AGGGUUUGAUCAUGGCUCAGGACGAACGCUGGCGGCAUGCCUAACACAUGCAAGUCGAACGAGAAAGUUCCUUCGGGAGCAAUUAAAGUGGCGCACGGGUGAGUAACGCGUAGACAAUCUGCCCUUCAGUCUGGGACAACUUUUCGAAAGGAGAGCUAAUACCGGAUAACAAUGCAUGACACAAGUUGUAUAUUUGAAAGCUUUAUGUGCUGAAGGAGGGGUCUGCGUCCCAUUAGCUAGUUGGUAAGGUAAAGGCUUACCAAGGCAACGAUGGGUAGCGGGUUUGAGAGGACGAUCCGCCACACUGGAACUGAGACACGGUCCAGACUCCUACGGGAGGCAGCAGUGGGGAAUAUUGCACAAUGGAGGAAACUCUGAUGCAGCAAUGUCGCGUGAGUGAAGAAGGCCCUUGGGUCGUAAAGCUCUUUUAUGGGGGAAGAUGAUGACGGUACCCCAAGAAUAAGCACCGGCUAACUAUGUGCCAGCAGCCGCGGUAAUACAUAGGGUGCGAGCGUUGUUCGGAAUUACUGGGCGUAAAGGGCGCGCAGGCGGAAUAGUAAGUCGGAGGUGAAAGCCCGGGGCUCAACCCCGGAGGGUCUUUC
RNAcentral lists this ribosomal RNA (602 nucleotides) under uncultured bacterium. RNAcentral describes it as "bacterial SSU rRNA". It matches the Rfam family "Bacterial small subunit ribosomal RNA", at positions 8 to 628 of the family's 1533-position model. The record is from RNAcentral.